This is a long non-coding RNA of Aethalodelphis obliquidens (Pacific white-sided dolphin), 527 nucleotides long. RefSeq lists it as uncharacterized. The record is from RefSeq and is a predicted model, not a curated record. The transcript is spliced from 3 exons. Lineage: Eukaryota; Metazoa; Chordata; Mammalia; Artiodactyla; Delphinidae.
GCCAGACUUCAGCUGGGAACAAAAUGUCUUGGAGCUGGUGGGAGCUCAGAGAACCAGGCUUCUCUCAAUCCAAGGGAAAGGACUGGCUGCACAUCUGGGGUACACUUGUUUGUAUAAGAUCAUUGUUAUCCAGGGCCCUGGUAGCCUUUUAGACUAAGCUCAAAUGGUUUUUUGUUUUGUUUUGUUUUGUUUUGUUUUUGCCAGCUCUGCAAAGAAAUGGUGCAGAGAGAAAGCCAGAACUCUCCAGAACUCAUUACCCUUCCCCAUCUCCCCAUUUCUCUCUCUUCUGGGAAGGGAGAGCAUAUGGGUGUGAUUCCACAGAUGGGCAGGAUGGAGACAGGUUAAAGAACACCUCCAAGAAGAAGCCUUCGUUGACACCACCUCUACCAGGAGGCCUCAUCGGUGACAACCUUGCUCUGCGCACCAGAGCUGAUAAGAAACAUCACCCAGGGAGGACAGAUGCCUCUUCUUCACUUUCUAAUCAGAGUGGAAAUACCACUAAAUAUAUUCAUAAUUCUUUGCAAGCA